UACGAAGGGUGCAAGCGUUACUCGGAAUUACUGGGCGUAAAGCGUGUGCAGGUGGUCUUUUAAGUCUGCUGUGAAAUCCCCGGGCUCAACCUGGGAAUGGCAGUGGAUACUGGAAGGCUAGAGUGCGGUAGAGGGUAGUGGAAUUCCCGGUGUAGCGGUGAAAUGCGUAGAGAUCGGGAGGAACACCAGUGGCGAAGGCGGCUACCUGGACCAGCACUGACACUCAGACACGAAAGCGUGGGGAG
RNAcentral lists this ribosomal RNA (245 nucleotides) under uncultured bacterium. RNAcentral describes it as "partial 16S ribosomal RNA". It matches the Rfam family "Bacterial small subunit ribosomal RNA", at positions 524 to 768 of the family's 1533-position model. The record is from RNAcentral.